CUUCACUUCUUCUUCUCCCCAGAUCCGAAGCGAGAAGCCUCUUUUGGAUCUAUCCAUUCGGGUCACCGUGGCAGUUCGGUAAUUUUGGCGGAGAGGAGGAGGAGGACGACGACGACGACGACGUGAUGGGUCUCCUCGACAAGCUGUGGGACGACACCGUCGCGGGGCCCCGCCCCGACACCGGCCUCGGCCGCCUCCGCAAGCACGCCGCCGCCCGCCCCGCCGCCGUCAAGAUCAACGACCCGACAGGGGACGCGGCGAUGGUGGCCGUCCCGCCGACGACGCCGGCCGGGGCGGAGGAGGCGCCGGUGAAGGUGACGCGCAGCAUCAUGAUCAAGCGCCCCGCGGGGUACCCGGCGUCGCCGAGGAGCGCGGCCAGCACGCCGCCGGCCUCCCCCGCCGGAUCCACCCCUCCCAUCUCGCCGUUCGCCGGCGCCGGUGAGUUCCCGGGAUUCCACACGCUCUCUCUCUCUCCCAACUUUUCGGUACGGUAACGGUAGGGGGUAGUUUGGUAAUUUCACCCGCCCCUUGCGUGAUGGGGAAUGCCGUGAUGGGUAGGCAGCUGUCAGCUGCGCGGGGUUUUGUCCGGGAGUUAGGAAGCGUCUAGAUGAGCUCAUGGGCAUUUUGGACAUUUCUGCAUCCUCGGUGAGUGGGUGCUCUAGCUCUCUGGUCUCCAUCAUGGAUUCAUGGCUGGAUAUUAACCCUACUACUGAUUUAUUAUUGGAUACAAGUUAUCAUGCGUGACUUGAAAUGCAGCAACAAUCGGAUAAACGUAGCUAUCAUGCUUCACCUCUGGAUGGUGGCUUUGCGGUGGUCGCUUCAGAAGGAAAUCAUCGUCCGACGCAUAUGAGAGGGCAACACCUGGGACAACCAGUCACCCUCCUCCCUUUGAAGUGUGAGCCCCCAGCGUGCUCACGCUCGUUUUUGCUCCUAGGCCAGCGUCUACUGCACACACAAGGCAGAGGAGGAGGAGAGACAUAUCAGAGACCGAAGCGGAUGGAAGUCGAGUGUUGUCUACCUAUCUUACCUCUACUACUGUGAUAUAACGUAGAUGCUACUAGUAAUUAAGUACGCCUGCUGCUGCUCGCCGUCUACUAUGUUGAGUCGUGUAUGGUUUGUGUAGUAAGGUUGUCGUCUGCUGUGUCAUAUAUGUACAUAUGUUUGCUCUGGGCUGCGAUGGAGCUUGCUGCAGUCUGCAGCCAAGCCCGCAGUUCAUCGCUGCGUCGUGUUUUCGCGUCCUUUUAAGCCCUCUGCAACUAUGUCAAAUGGAUGGGCAUGUGGAGGAUGGUGGAAUGAGCUUUCAGGCUGUGAUGCUAAAGAUGGAAGCACUGAUGGCUGGUGUGUGAUUUUGCUUGAUGUAUUAUCUGAAUUCUCAAGUAGUAGAUGCUUUGCUUGAACCUUGUAUAUUUGCAAUGCUCGAGGCUUCUUGGCUAGAAGAUGUUUUGCUUGAACCCUGUAUAUUUGGAAUGUUCCAAUAAGCUAACUGGCCUGUCUUUUGUGCA
RNA transcript from Oryza sativa Japonica Group (Japanese rice), 1502 nucleotides. It is a transcript of the gene named dormancy-associated protein homolog 3, with no coding region annotated. Lineage: Eukaryota; Viridiplantae; Streptophyta; Magnoliopsida; Poales; Poaceae. The record is from RefSeq and is a predicted model, not a curated record.